RNAcentral lists this transfer RNA (82 nucleotides) under Cordylochernes scorpioides. RNAcentral describes it as "tRNA-Thr". The stretch from base 11 to 68 matches the Rfam family "tRNA", at positions 8 to 63 of the family's 71-position model. Rfam says of the family: Transfer RNA (tRNA) molecules are approximately 80 nucleotides in length. Their secondary structure includes four short double-helical elements and three loops (D, anti-codon, and T loops). Lineage: Eukaryota; Metazoa; Arthropoda; Arachnida; Pseudoscorpiones; Chernetidae. The record is from RNAcentral.
UGUGGUCAUGUGGCCUAGUGGUCAUGGCAUCUGCCCGGUAAGCGGAUGGUCGUGGGUUCGAUUCCCAUAUAGUAGAUUAUAG